AGUGAACGCUGGCGGUAGGCCUAACACAUGCAAGUCGAACGGCAGCACAGUAAGAGCUUGCUCUUACGGGUGGCGAGUGGCGGACGGGUGAGGAAUACAUCGGAAUCUACUUUUUCGUGGGGGAUAACGUAGGGAAACUUACGCUAAUACCGCAUACGUCCUACGGGUGAAAGCAGGGGAUCUUCGGACCUUGCGCGACUGAAUGAGCCGAUGUCGGCUUAGCUAGUUGGCGGGGUAAAGGCUCACCAAGGCGACGAUCCGUAGCUGGUCUGAGAGGAUGAUCCGCCACACUGGAACUGAGACACGGUCCAGACUCCUAAGGGAGGCAGCAGUGGGGAAUAUUGGACAAUGGGCGCAAGCCUGAUCCAGCCAUACCGCGUGGGUGAAGAAGGCCUUCGGGUUGUAAAGCCCUUUUGUUGGGAAAGAAAAGCAGCAGGUUAAUACCCCGCUGUUCUGACGGUACCCAAAGAAUAAGCACCGGCUAACUUCGUG
RNAcentral lists this ribosomal RNA (492 nucleotides) under uncultured bacterium. RNAcentral's name for it is "partial 16S ribosomal RNA". It matches the Rfam family "Bacterial small subunit ribosomal RNA", at positions 29 to 507 of the family's 1533-position model. The record is from RNAcentral.